Molecule: non-coding RNA, 586 nt
Organism: Camellia sinensis
Lineage: Eukaryota; Viridiplantae; Streptophyta; Magnoliopsida; Ericales; Theaceae
Source: RefSeq, a predicted model, not a curated record
AGAUUGAUACAUACACCAAGGAACUUGGGGAAAUACAAAAGCAGUCCAAGGAAGAGUAUUUGGCUUCCCUACGGCACCAAAGCAGUGGAUUUUCCAGGGGCGUUUCUAAGUACCGUGGUGUGGCAAGAUUGAUACAUACACCAAGGAACUUGGGGAAAUGCAAAAGCAGUCCAAGCAAGAGUAUUUGGCUUCCUUACGGCGCCAAAGCAGCGGAUUUUCCAGCGGUGUUUCUAAGUACCGUGGUGUGGCAAGGGAGAUUCCCAUGCCUUCCGGGGGUAUGGGAACAUUGCCUCCAAAGACUGGUACAUGGAGCUACCCGAUGCAGUCCGUCACAUCGUGGACCAGGCCGGGUUUGGCGCAUUCUGCAGGGGACUCUCGCGCCUCACUGCGAGCAGACCUCAUGUUUCUGCUAGGGACGACCAUUUUCGCCGACCGAGCGAACACCGUGCCCCUCUGUCUGCUCAGCGCCCUUGUCACCAGGAUCUUGUGCUACGACUGGGGUGGCACUGCCUUGGCCACUCUAUAUGGAUAUAUGAGCUCAGCCUCCCGUUGCAGCGGACAGUUGCUCGGGGGCUACUGGCGAGCU